This 26-nucleotide non-coding RNA is filed under the name Rattus norvegicus (Norway rat). The record is from RNAcentral. Lineage: Eukaryota; Metazoa; Chordata; Mammalia; Rodentia; Muridae.
UAGGUGACCCCUGUUGUAAGUGUUGU